RNAcentral lists this ribosomal RNA (645 nucleotides) under Salmonella enterica. RNAcentral's name for it is "partial 23S ribosomal RNA". It matches the Rfam family "Bacterial large subunit ribosomal RNA", at positions 711 to 1268 of the family's 2925-position model. The record is from RNAcentral. Lineage: Bacteria; Pseudomonadati; Pseudomonadota; Gammaproteobacteria; Enterobacterales; Enterobacteriaceae.
AGACCCGAAACCCGGUGAUCUAGCCAUGGGCAGGUUGAAGGUUGGGUAACACUAACUGGAGGACCGAACCGACUAAUGUUGAAAAAUUAGCGGAUGACCUGUGGCUGGGGGUGAAAGGCCAAUCAAACCGGGAGAUAGCUGGUUCUCCCCGAAAGCUAUUUAGGUAGCGCCUCGUGAAUUCAUCUCCGGGGGUAGAGCACUGUUUCGGCUAGGGGGCCAUCCCGGCUUACCAACCCGAUGCAAACUGCGAAUACCGGAGAAUGUUAUCACGGGAGACACACGGCGGGUGCUAACGUCCGUCGUGAAGAGGGAAACAACCCAGACCGCCAGCUAAGGUCCCAAAGUCAUGGUUAAGUGGGAAACGAUGUGGGAAGGCCCAGACAGCCAGGAUGUUGGCUUAGAAGCAGCCAUCAUUUAAAGAAAGCGUAAUAGCUCACUGGUCGAGUCGGCCUGCGCGGAAGAUGUAACGGGGCUAAACCAUGCACCGAAGCUGCGGCAGCGAACGUAUCACCCAAGACAACUUUACGGAGUUGACGAUUGACGGAGCGAAGCGACGUCAAAGCGUUCAUUAAAGUCAAGUUGGCUUAGGGAUACGUUCGUUGGGUAGGGGAGCGUUCUGUAAGCCUGUGAAGGUGUGUCGUGAGG